AAUGAACGCUGGCGGCAUGCCUUACACAUGCAGUCGAACGGCAGCAUGACCUAGCUUGCUAGGUUGAUGGCGAGUGGCGAACGGGUGAGUAAUGCAUCGGAACGUGCCUUUUAGUGGGGGAUAACGUAGCGAAAGUUACGCUAAUACCGCAUAUUCUCUGAGGAGGAAAGCAGGGGACCUUCGGGCCUUGCGCUAGAAGAGCGGCCGAUGUCGGAUUAGCUAGUUGGUGAGGUAAAGGCUCACCAAGGCAACGAUCCGUAGCGGGUCUGAGAGGAUGAUCCGCCACACUGGGACUGAGACACGGCCCAGACUCCUACGGGAGGCAGCAGUGGGGAAUUUUGGACAAUGGGCGCAAGCCUGAUCCAGCCAUGCCGCGUGAGUGAAGAAGGCCUUCGGGUUGUAAAGCUCUUUCGGCUGGGAAGAAAUCGCACCCUCUAAUACAGGGUGUGGAUGACGGUACCAGCAUAAGAAGCACCGGCUAACUACGUG
Molecule: ribosomal RNA, 489 nt
Filed under: uncultured bacterium
Lineage: Bacteria
Description: partial 16S ribosomal RNA
Rfam family: Bacterial small subunit ribosomal RNA
Source: RNAcentral